UACGUAGGGUGCGAGCGUUGUCCGGAAUUACUGGGCGUAAAGAGCUCGUAGGCGGUUUGUCGCGUCGUCUGUGAAAUUCUGCAACUCAAUUGUAGGCGUGCAGGCGAUACGGGCAGACUUGAGUACUACAGGGGAGACUGGAAUUCCUGGUGUAGCGGUGAAAUGCGCAGAUAUCAGGAGGAACACCGGUGGCGAAGGCGGGUCUCUGGGUAGUAACUGACGCUGAGGAGCGAAAGCGUGGGUAGCGAACAGGAUUAGAAACCCGUGUAGU
RNAcentral lists this ribosomal RNA (271 nucleotides) under uncultured bacterium. RNAcentral describes it as "partial 16S ribosomal RNA". It matches the Rfam family "Bacterial small subunit ribosomal RNA", at positions 524 to 794 of the family's 1533-position model. The record is from RNAcentral.